RNAcentral lists this unclassified non-coding RNA (236 nucleotides) under uncultured Mortierella. RNAcentral describes it as "sequence contains ITS2". The record is from RNAcentral. Lineage: Eukaryota; Fungi; Mortierellomycota; Mortierellomycetes; Mortierellales; Mortierellaceae.
AAACACCCUCAACCUUUUCUUUAUUGAAAAGGUUGGACUUGAGUGAUCCCAACGGUUUUUUUUUUAAAAGGCUGGCGGGUUGCUUGAAAUGCAGGUGCGGCUGGACACAUCUUCUGAGCUAUAAGCAUUACCUAUUUAGUCCCGUCAAACGGAUUAUUUCUAUUGCUACAGCUAAUAUAAAGGUUGAUUGUCCUGUGCCCGACUGAUGCAGGAAAACAUGGAGAAAUCCUUGUUCA